RNAcentral lists this ribosomal RNA (248 nucleotides) under Salmonella enterica. RNAcentral describes it as "partial 16S ribosomal RNA". It matches the Rfam family "Bacterial small subunit ribosomal RNA", at positions 207 to 447 of the family's 1533-position model. RNAcentral also lists the same sequence under 3 other names. Lineage: Bacteria; Pseudomonadati; Pseudomonadota; Gammaproteobacteria; Enterobacterales; Enterobacteriaceae. The record is from RNAcentral.
GGACCUUCGGGCCUCUUGCCAUCAGAUGUGCCCAGAUGGGAUUAGCUUGUUGGUGAGGUAACGGCUCACCAAGGCGACGAUCCCUAGCUGGUCUGAGAGGAUGACCAGCCACACUGGAACUGAGACACGGUCCAGACUCCUACGGGAGGCAGCAGUGGGGAAUAUUGCACAAUGGGCGCAAGCCUGAUGCAGCCAUGCCGCGUGUAUGAAGAAGGCCUUCGGGUUGUAAAGUACUUUCAGCGGGGAGG